GCUUUGCAGGUUGAGAUAUGACCGUAGCAKCCCCGCAAGGAGCCUGGUUUGCUAGUUCCGUAGGUGAACCUGCGGAAGGAUCAUUA
RNAcentral lists this ribosomal RNA (86 nucleotides) under Caloplaca cerina. RNAcentral's name for it is "partial 18S ribosomal RNA". The record is from RNAcentral. Lineage: Eukaryota; Fungi; Ascomycota; Lecanoromycetes; Teloschistales; Teloschistaceae.